UUAAUAUUUAUUUCAUUAAAAACACUAAAGAGGUCUCUAUCAUUAUCCAAAUCGGAUCCCGGUGGUCUGUAGCAUACCCCAAGCACUAUCCCAAGGGAGGCUCUAGUAGCUUUCUU
This is a long non-coding RNA of Gopherus evgoodei (Goodes thornscrub tortoise), 116 nucleotides long. RefSeq lists it as uncharacterized. NCBI's taxonomy places the organism in Eukaryota, Metazoa, Chordata, Testudines, Testudinidae. The record is from RefSeq and is a predicted model, not a curated record. The transcript is spliced from 3 exons.